UUUGCAUAUCCAAAAAGCGGAGGAAAAGAAACCAACAGGGAUUGCCUCAGUAACGGCGAGUGAAGCGGCAACAGCUCAAAUUUGAAAUCUGGCCUCUUUGGGGUCCGAGUUGUAAUUUGUAGAGGAUGUUUCGGGUACCGCCUCGGUUUAAAUUUCUUGGAACAGAAUGUCAAAGAGGGUGAGAAUCCCGUCUUGGACCGGCGGUAGGGCCCAUGUGAAACUCCUUCGACGAGUCGAGUUGUUUGGGAAUGCAGCUCAAAAUGGGUGGUAAAUUUCAUCUAAAGCUAAAUAUUGGCCAGAGACCGAUAGCGCACAAGUAGAGUGAUCGAAAGAUGAAAAGCACUUUGAAAAGAGAGUUAAACAGUAUGUGAAAUUGUUGAAAGGGAAGCGCUUACAACCAGACUUGAGCGCGGCGGUUCCCCCUUCCUUUUGGUUGGGUUACUCCGUCGUGUCCAGGCCAACAUCGGUUUCGGGGGUCGGUUAAAGACCUUGGGAAUGUAUCUACCCUUCGGGCGUAGACUUAUAGCCCAGGGUGUCAUGCGGCCUCCCGGGACCGAGGAACGCGCUUCGGCUCGGAUGUUGGCGUAAUGGUUGUCAGCGACCCGUCUUGAAACCACGGACCAA
RNAcentral lists this ribosomal RNA (624 nucleotides) under Veronaea botryosa. Its description in RNAcentral is "LSU rRNA". It matches the Rfam family "Eukaryotic large subunit ribosomal RNA", at positions 35 to 669 of the family's 3401-position model. The record is from RNAcentral. Lineage: Eukaryota; Fungi; Ascomycota; Eurotiomycetes; Chaetothyriales; Herpotrichiellaceae.